RNAcentral lists this long non-coding RNA (945 nucleotides) under Lathyrus oleraceus (garden pea). RNAcentral's name for it is "Pisum sativum (pea) long non-coding RNA (PSAT_LNC022918)". The record is from RNAcentral. Lineage: Eukaryota; Viridiplantae; Streptophyta; Magnoliopsida; Fabales; Fabaceae.
UUUUGAAAUUUUAUCUGGCUAAAACCUUUAACGAGUUCUAUACUGAAUUUUGCUUGAGGACAAGCAAAGAUCUAAGUAUGGGGGAGUUUGAUAACACGAAAUUAUAUCAUAUUUUAGGACUUAAUUCAAUUAAAUUUUAUUAUUAUUUAUUUCAGUUCACUUCAUUUUAUUAGAUAUUACGCGGUAUUUUCUUCCUAUUUGUCUCAGGUGGCUUAUUUUGAAGCACAAGUAAAAAUGGAAGAAAAGGAGGUGCAAAAAGGAGAGAAAAUGAACCAAAUGUCAAAGCCCAGCCCAAAGCACAAAACGCAGGUGCCGUGCAUGUGACGGACGUCACAGAGGGCGUGACGAGCGUCACGCCUUGCACACUCCUGUGACGGACGUCACACAUGGUGUGACGAACGUCACACCAUUCCCCUACAUUUUUGGCGCAAGGAACGCCUCAGAGACGUUGAGCGUUGAGGGAGUGUUGAGCCCUAUAUCCACGCCAUGCUUUUAUGCACGUUGAAGACCUUUUUGGCAGCGGAAGCGGUUACUCAAGCAUAUAUAAAUAGCCACUUGCAAAACCAAAAAGGGUUCCGAAGCUUUUCCACAUUUUUUCCUUUGCCGUUUUCGCUUUUGCACAUUUUCUUUUCCAGCAACUUAAGCAGUAUUGUUUCUUUAUUAUUUUUACGAGUUCUACACUAUUUCCCUUGCAAUUUCUAUUUUCCUUUUUAGCAUUUAGUUAAUUCUUUUCGCACAAUAGUUUCUACACCGGAAACUAUUGUGUACCUUUUUACCGGAUCUAACCUUACGUUAGAAUCUAGUUUUUAUUUCCUUCGUUUUAAUUUAUUGUUUAAUUGAAGAAUCCAAGAACAAAUCCUACCGGCUUGUGGUGGAGUGUUCAAGACUAUUGUUUAACUCAUUCAGGUUCUUUAAUUAUUAUUUAAUGCUUUGUUUUAUUAUUUA